RNAcentral lists this long non-coding RNA (382 nucleotides) under Sus scrofa (pig). RNAcentral describes it as "lncRNA (ENSSSCG00070006908.1)". Lineage: Eukaryota; Metazoa; Chordata; Mammalia; Artiodactyla; Suidae. The record is from RNAcentral.
CUCCCCCCGCCGCCCAGCGAGCAUAAAGCCCCGCGCUCGCCCGCGCGCCCAGGCGCCCGCGGAGGCGGCGGCGCCCGGACCCCACUCCCGUUGGGCUCCCGGGUCCUCGAGGGCAAGAGAGACCCCGAAUCCCGAGGCGGGCCGGGACCUGGGCGCGGCCGCACCCCACACCCACCCUGGCUCGGGGGCCGGGCCGCGGGAACGCCCUCCCGGAAUGAAGCGCUUCCCGGUGCCUUCAAGAUUCGGGAACGCCGGUUCCAGAGUCUCCCCGUCCACUCCCCACGGAAGCUGUAAGAAAGAGUUCUAACCCCACCCCAUCGGAUUGGAAGUACCUAAGCUGCCGGCCCACUGUGUUUGGAGUGACUUCUCUCAGUCCAUCUCA